Molecule: long non-coding RNA, 206 nt
Filed under: Homo sapiens (human)
Lineage: Eukaryota; Metazoa; Chordata; Mammalia; Primates; Hominidae
Description: HSALNT0195396
Source: RNAcentral
UUGGAAUCUAAUUUCCCAGUGCCCUCCACCCCACCCAAAACCCCCAGUGUCUGGCAAAUCUGACUUAAAUCCCAGAGGCAGAGGCUGAGGACCCAGGCUCCGAUAUUCUGAACACAGGAUGGCUGGCAGCACUAACCCAUGCUGUCUUUUACACAUCUCAGCAGGCACUCUUGUAGAGCCUGGAGAAAUCAGUCUGAACGAGGCUC